RNAcentral lists this ribosomal RNA (631 nucleotides) under Aspergillus foetidus. RNAcentral's name for it is "partial 28S ribosomal RNA". It matches the Rfam family "Eukaryotic large subunit ribosomal RNA", at positions 1 to 646 of the family's 3401-position model. The record is from RNAcentral. Lineage: Eukaryota; Fungi; Ascomycota; Eurotiomycetes; Eurotiales; Aspergillaceae.
UUGACCUCGGAUCAGGUAGGGAUACCCGCUGAACUUAAGCAUAUCAAUAAGCGGAGGAAAAGAAACCAACCGGGAUUGCCUCAGUAACGGCGAGUGAAGCGGCAAGAGCUCAAAUUUGAAAGCUGGCUCCUUCGGAGUCCGCAUUGUAAUUUGCAGAGGAUGCUUUGGGUGCGGCCCCCGUCUAAGUGCCCUGGAACGGGCCGUCAGAGAGGGUGAGAAUCCCGUCUUGGGCGGGGUGUCCGUGCCCGUGUAAAGCUCCUUCGACGAGUCGAGUUGUUUGGGAAUGCAGCUCUAAAUGGGUGGUAAAUUUCAUCUAAAGCUAAAUACUGGCCGGAGACCGAUAGCGCACAAGUAGAGUGAUCGAAAGAUGAAAAGCACUUUGAAAAGAGAGUUAAACAGCACGUGAAAUUGUUGAAAGGGAAGCGCUUGCGACCAGACUCGCCCGCGGGGUUCAGCCGGCAUUCGUGCCGGUGUACUUCCCCGUGGGCGGGCCAGCGUCGGUUUGGGCGGCCGGUCAAAGGCCCCUGGAAUGUAGUGCCCUCCGGGGCACCUUAUAGCCAGGGGUGCAAUGCGGCCAGCCUGGACCGAGGAACGCGCUUCGGCACGGACGCUGGCAUAAUGGUCGUAAACG